This 477-nucleotide ribosomal RNA is filed under the name Priestia megaterium. RNAcentral describes it as "bacterial SSU rRNA". It matches the Rfam family "Bacterial small subunit ribosomal RNA", at positions 972 to 1448 of the family's 1533-position model. The record is from RNAcentral. Lineage: Bacteria; Bacillati; Bacillota; Bacilli; Caryophanales; Bacillaceae.
UACCAGGUCUUGACAUCCUCUGACAACUCUAGAGAUAGAGCGUUCCCCUUCGGGGGACAGAGUGACAGGUGGUGCAUGGUUGUCGUCAGCUCGUGUCGUGAGAUGUUGGGUUAAGUCCCGCAACGAGCGCAACCCUUGAUCUUAGUUGCCAGCAUUCAGUUGGGCACUCUAAGGUGACUGCCGGUGACAAACCGGAGGAAGGUGGGGAUGACGUCAAAUCAUCAUGCCCCUUAUGACCUGGGCUACACACGUGCUACAAUGGAUGGUACAAAGGGCUGCAAGACCGCGAGGUCAAGCCAAUCCCAUAAAACCAUUCUCAGUUCGGAUUGUAGGCUGCAACUCGCCUACAUGAAGCUGGAAUCGCUAGUAAUCGCGGAUCAGCAUGCCGCGGUGAAUACGUUCCCGGGCCUUGUACACACCGCCCGUCACACCACGAGAGUUUGUAACACCCGAAGUCGGUGGAGUAACCGUAAGGAG